UACAGAGGUCUCAAGCGUUAUUCGGAUUCAUUGGGCGUAAAGGGUGCGUAGGUGGCGAUGUAAGUCUGGUGUGAAAUCUCGGAGCUUAACUCCGAAACUGCAUUGGAUACUGCGUUGCUUGAGGAUUGUAGAGGAGAGUGGAAUUCACGGUGUAGCAGUGAAAUGCGUAGAUAUCGUGAGGAAGACCAGUUGCGAAGGCGACUCUCUGGGCAAUUCCUGACACUGAGGCACGAAGGCCAGGGGAGCAAACGGG
Molecule: ribosomal RNA, 253 nt
Filed under: uncultured bacterium
Lineage: Bacteria
Description: partial 16S ribosomal RNA
Rfam family: Bacterial small subunit ribosomal RNA
Source: RNAcentral